CCUACGGGGGGCAGUAGUGAGGAAUAUUGGUCAAUGGACGAGAGUCUGAACCAGCCAAGUAGCGUGAAGGAUGACUGCCCUAUGGGUUGUAAACUUCUUUUAUAUGGGAAUAAAAUGUUCCACGUGUGGGAUUUUGUAUGUACCAUAUGAAUAAGGAUCGGCUAACUCCGUGCCAGCAGCCGCGGUACUACGGAGGAUCCGAGCGUUAUCUGGAUUUAUUGGGUUUAAAGGGAGCGUAGGUGGUUUGUUAAGUCAGUUGUGAAAGUUUGCGGCUCAACCGUAAAAUUGCAGUUGAAACUGGCAGUCUUGAGUACAGUAGAGGUGGGCGGAAUUCGUGGUGUAGCGGUGAAAUGCUUAGAUAUCACGAAGAACUCCGAUUGCGAAGGCAGUUCACUGGACUGCAACUGACACUGAGGCUCGAAAGUGUGGGUAUCAAACAGGAUUAGAUACCCUGGUAGUC
RNAcentral lists this ribosomal RNA (460 nucleotides) under uncultured bacterium. RNAcentral describes it as "partial 16S ribosomal RNA". It matches the Rfam family "Bacterial small subunit ribosomal RNA", at positions 338 to 795 of the family's 1533-position model. The record is from RNAcentral.